CCAGAGGUUUUGGCAGGAGGCUAUUUUUCUGCAUCGAAUCAGGCAUUGGCAAGGGCAUUCAUAGAGUACUGACGUGGGGUCCUCAGAGUAAGGUCGGUGGCCAGCGGACGGAGAGCUCAUCUCUGCCGGAGCAAGGAUGGGGAGGCAGCCGAGCUCCUGAAGAGGCCGGUGAAGGACUUGGUUUGGCAGCUGGUCCUUGCCUCCACCCCGCCCAUCUGCACUGGUCAGAAGCCAGGGCCUGCAGUUCCUUCCCUGCACUGGCUUUCUCUGUCAGCCCCACGAGACAAGGACAUGGUCUCCUUCACUGCUGCACCCCAGCACCCCCGGGGUGGUGCCUGGUGCUCAGUGGAAGCUCCCGAAACCAUCGUUGAUUGAAUGGAUGAACAGAACAGGUGCUCAAUACAGGUGCUUCAGGUUCCAGUCUGUCCGGGAUCAGUGGACCUGAUUCCCUCUCUCUGAAGAAACCAUCUCUGGCACCCCAGGCCUGCAAACCCCACCCACCAGGCCCUUCUGCAAAAAUCUCAAUUAUCCACAUGUUAGUUGAGCUCCUCGUGGGUCCCAGGGGGCAGGGGAAGGAGAAGGCUUUGAACCAGCCCAGCUCCCAUCGGUACCAUCAGUACCUGCUCAGGGACCCAGAUGAGAUCUUCUGCCACCAUCUGGGUUUAAAGUAACACUUCAGGGAAGCAAAAAUCAACCAUCCCCAUAGCAAAUGCCUAGGAUGACAGGCACACAAGACAGGGCUGUACAGAGAUCUCUCCAAGUAGCCUGCAAGCCCCUUGGCAGAGUUCCUGUAUUCUCAUCGCCUGAUGUCGCCCUUCACCAGCCCAGACACUUGCUGACUGCAUGUAUCAGAUGUUGGGCUCAGAUGUUGACCCCAGGCAGAGGGUCUAGCUCCAGGCUCUCCCCUAGCCUAUCCCACACCCAGGCCUAUACCACCGGCCUCCCCGCCUCUCACUCCGACGCCAAGGCUGCAGGUGUCACCUAAUGCCCCCCACCCCCACUAAACCUUCCCAAGCUCGAGCUUGCCUGUUGCUCCCCAGCUGAGGCCCCCCUUCCCCUGGGCAGCUCUGACCCUCAGCCUGUAGCCAACACCUCUCACUUGGAAUAUGUCGUAGGUUAUCUCUUGCACUGCACGUUCUUGACUCUUGGUUUGUCACCCAGUUUUUUAUGUGCUUAUGUCUCCAGUUCAUGCAUGGCUCCCUUUGAGCCACAGUCUUGGGGCCUCAUGGUUGGCCAGCUCCCUCCCGAGUCCCUAGCAUUGCCUCUAGUUCACAGGAAUGUCAGGGCGGGCUGUCCCCUCUCCCUUUGGUUGGCUCUUCCUCUCCCCCAGACCCUCCCUCUCUGCCCCGUCAUGUUUCCUCUUUCUGCAUGGCUCUCAGGGCACGUGCUGCUUGGUCAUGACCUGGCCUCUGUCAGGAUGGGAGCGCAAAGCAAAGCAGGGAGCAGCCGCUGGCCCCCAUCAGACUCCGGAAGUCAGCCACACCUGGCCUUCCGUGGGAAUCCUGGUGGCAGCAGAAAUGAGCGGGGAGGUGGGGCAGAUGCCUCAAGCCCAGACCCUCCCACAGGAGAGACCAAAGAGGGAUGGCGAAGAGCCUCAAAAAGCCAGGAGAGAAUCGAGCCACCAUAGUACUCAGUCCUGGAAAUUCCAAAAAGACUGCUUUUUUUAGGGCAAGAGCCACGAAGCUCUACUUUCCCCCUUUUGAGACCAGAUGCAUUUCAGAAUUCAAGAGUUUUCAAAUUUUAGAAAGAUAAUAUAAUACACGUACUGUGUAUAAGAGAACAAACCUAGCAAAUUAUAGGGAGAAGCCAGCAAUCAGACAUUAUUUCUGCGGAAGUACAUCUACAGGUUGGGAUAAACAAAGACCAUAGCUAUUUGCACUUUGGUUUAGGUCACGUCUCGCUGCCGUUUGAGUUCACCGCAGCUGUGCUAAAGAAUUGUGGUUGCUGUAGCUUUCUGGAGUCUGAAACUAUGGAUAAAAUUUUGCGAACCUGUGAGAAACUUUUAGUACCUGUCAUCAGGAGAGGUUGUGCCGUCGAAUUUUAAAGAAAGCCCCCCGCCAAGUUCUCACUGUGGAUCAAACCCGCAUCCUCAUGGAUGCCAGUCGGGUUCUCUAACUGCUGAGCCACGACAGGAACUUCUUCGGCACUUUUAUGUAUGUAAAAUCCUCAUAACAACCCUACAAGUUAAGGAUUAGCCCAUUUUAUAGAUGGGAAAAACUGAGGUCAGAGCAGAUAACUGGCUUGCCACAAUUAGUAAGUGGUUGGCUAGAGGACUUGAACUUGAUCUGUGUGACUCCCAGGCAGGUGCUCCUUAUGCUGUAGCUGGGCCUUAGGCUGCCUCCCAUCCUGCUCAGGCUGAUGUCAGGGCCGAGAUAUCACAGCACCUCAUAGCACCUGGCCCACCUCCUCCUGAGCCCAACUUCUGCCUGAGCACACAAGGCUAAAAGCACCAGGACCUCUCCCCAUUAGGAGAUUCCAGCCCAGGAAUCCCCACCCCAACCCCUUGCUUCUCUCUCCUCUCGGUUUCCCCAUCCUCAGCCUCAGAAACUCCACCAUCCACCGAGGAGGCUGGUUUGACCCAAACCCUAGAGUCCCAACUCCUCAGGGGUUACAGUUCAGCCAGAGACAAGCUAGACGAAAUUCCUUCCCCAAAUACAGUGAUUCUUAUCGGUAAUGUUUGGCUUGCAGUCUGCUACCCCAAAGCAGUACAAUUCCUUUCACCCUUGUCCUUGCCUUCAACCCUGUUUUUCUCAGGACCCAGUCAAUCCAUAAAACUGUUUUUUAAAAAUCCAAAUACAUAAAACACUUAGAAAUAAUUAUUUUAAUUGUUUGCAAGGCCCACACGCUGAAAAGUACAAAACACUGCUGAAAGAGGUGCUCAAAGCCCCCAAAAGAGAGAGAGGGCCAGUUUAUAAAUCAGGAGAUUCAAUAUUGUUAGAACGCCAGUCUUCUAUAAACUAAUUUACAGAUUUGAUGCAGUCCCACUUAAAAUCCCAGCAGAUCAUCCUGUAGAUAUUAACAAGUUGAUACUAAAAUUUAUGUGGAAAUACAAAGGACCUAGAGUAGCCAAAACAAUUUUGGAAAAAAAGUACUGGGUUUUAACACUUAUCACAGUAAUCAGUACUGUGGCAUUAGCCUAAAGAUAAGCUUAUGGAAUAGGAUAGAGAGUCCAGAAAUAAGCCCUUGCAUAUUGGGUCAAUUGACUCGUGACAUAGAUGACAAUGUAGGAAGGAUCAUCUUUUUGACAAAUAGUGCUGGAUUUAGUGGAUAGCCACGCAGAAGACAAUAACCUUCAACCAUUACUUCACAUCAUCCACACAAAAUAGCUCAAAAAGAAUCAUAAGACUUAAGUGUAAAAGCUAAAAUGAUGAUGACGUUUCUAGAAGAAAUCUCUGCAACCUCUAAUAGGCAGAGAUUUCUCAGAUAAGACACACAAAAAGUAAAAACCAUGCCAGAAAAAGUUCAAAAGUUGUACUUUAACACAACUAAAACUGUCUCUUCUUCAUAAGAUAACAAUAAGAAAAUGAAAAGGCAAGCUACAGACAGGAGAAAAAUACUGCUAAUACUUUCUGACAAAAGACUUAUAUCCAAAAUAUGCAAGCAGCUCUUACAACUCAAUAAGAAGAAGAUCAAUAACCCAAUAAAAAAGAUAUUCAAAUGACCAUAUGAUCCAAAAAUCCAGUCUUAGAUAUGUACCCAAGAGAAAUAAAAACACAUGUCCACAAAAAGGCAUGUGCAUGAAUGUUCAUAGCAGCUUUAUUUGGAAUAGCCCCAAACUAGAAACAAUCCAAAUGUCCAUCAACUGGUGAAUGAAUAAACAAAUUGUGGUACAUCUAUGUGAUGGAAUACUACACAGCAAGGAAAAGGGGAUGUGCUACUGAUAUAUACAACAAACAUGGGUGAAUCCCCAAAAUAUUAUUUUGAGCAAAAGAAUUCAGAUGCAAUAGGGUAUAUCCCAUAUGAUUCCAUUUAUAUGAACUUCUACAAUGGGUAAAACUAAAGUGGCAGAAAGCAGAGAAGUCGUGAUAGUGGGGGAGUGUUGACUGCUAAGGAGCACAAGGGACCCUUAGCAUGAUGGCACUAUUCUGGGGAGUAAUUGUGGUGGUAGUUACAUGGGGUUUUACAUUUGUUAAAACCCAAUUCAUGCACUUAGAUUGCAUGCAUUUUAUAGUAUGUAUUGUUGAUUUGGGAAAAAAAUAAGGUUGUGUUUUCCUUUUUCACAAUGAUGACACUUCCACAACCCAAGAAGAUGGUUAGAAUCCCAGGAACUACCAAAAGUGAGCCUGUACUGAGCACUUGCAUGUGCCAGGCACCCUAUUAAGGCCCUUUCAUUCAUUAUUUAAAUUAAGCCCCACAGCAGCCAUUAGGAUGGGCAUUAUCAUCACCCAAAGCUCAGAAACGUUAAGACACAGCCUGAAGUCACACAGCGAGCAAGAGGCAAAACCAGGAUGCAAAGUAAGGUCUAGAUGACUGAAAAUGCUGUGCUUCCAUAAACAGCUCUGUACCAUCCCUAAGACAGGAGAGAAACGCACACAGUGCAGAGGUCACACAUCUAAAAAGCACCAUUAAAGUCAACUAUGUUUUUUAACAUUGCAUCCACAGGAAUUAUUUCUAGUUACAGAAUUCACUGGGCUGACUCAAAGACUGGACUGAGUGACAAGGCCUAUCAUAUACCCAGCUUUUCACAUAAUACAAUGAGCGUACAUUUAUAAAACACCACAGAAGUUAAUAUUUGCAGAAUUCCCAAGCCAUCUGAGCCAACACAUGCGCUCUUGAGUGACCCUAGACUUCCAAGCCAGGACCAGCUGGUUAGGGAAGCUUAGGACCUCCAGGUGCUAAAGACCUUGAAGGCAAGUGACUUGACCAUGGACAACACAGAGAGUGGUCCAGAGCCAGAACAGAUCUGGUCCACCUCCCAUCCCAUUGUCACCAGGCCAUCCUGUCUCACUGCUGAGGACAGAGAAUUUGUGGCCUCACCCAUCCCUCUAAAGCCAAGAGAGUCUGACAGAGUUAACCAAGUAGGGGAGGGGUUUACCCCCUCCCCCACCACAGCUCCUUUGCAGCUGCUGUUCUCCUCUGUGACCACACAAUAUGAGCUGUGAUCGCUGUUCUCUGCAGAGCAAAGAGCCCAGAGUGCAGGCGGGACCUGAUCUCUAUCCUGCCUCUCCCAUAACUUGCUGUGUGACAUAGGGUGAGUCACUGAACCUUUCUGACCUUCAGUUUCCUUUGGGGAACUAUUACACCCAUCCUGUAUACCUCAAGAAUGGGUCUGAGGAUCAGAUGACAAAGGGGCUGAAUAAGAAAAUGAUUUGGAAACUGCACGACUAGUAUUAUCAGCAUCAACAGAAUUAGGCUCUAGACUCAUGUAAAAGAACCAGAAGCAGUUGCCAGCUCACUGGUUUGGGGACGAUGGUUGCUUCAUCUGAAAAACAUAAAUAAUAAUAUAGGACGUGCUUGAAGCAGGGAGUUAAGACCAGAGAAGUUUUGGGGGUCACUUCCAAUUCUUUAAGUCUGAUUCUAUAAUUUCAAAAACCUCAAGAAGAUUGGCCUCACCUGUUCUCCUGAUGUUUGAAUUUUUUUUUCAUCAAGAUGCCAAAACACUUGCCUUGUAAUCAGAAAUGAGAUUUCAAAUGCUAAUGACCUGGAGAAGGGAGAAGCACAUCGCUUCUCAUUUUCACUACGGUGUGAAUGACUGAUUUAGAGUUCUUCCAGAGCAAGUCAUAACAGGGCUUACUUCAUGAGCGUUCAAGCUGAAUCCUGUCCUUUUCUCUGAGACCAAACACAUGAGAGCAUGAAGCCCCAGUUUUAGCUUAUUCUCUAAGCACUUGUCCUCCUCCCCAGAUCGGGGGAGGGGGGUGGUAGCUUAAGUGUACUUUUGCCAGCUCUGUCCAGGGGGAUCUCACGACUUGGAAGAGGUGGCCCAUGUGCACUUGAACCCUCUCAGCCCCAACCCACCCCUGAUCCCUUUUCAUUUCCCAGGCCACCCUCUUGCUCACAACCUUCAAGUUCCAGCCCUGUGUACUGCCACAUACUUUUUUUCCCUUCCCACCACACCAGCCCGGGUGGUCCCAGCCCUCUGGAGCCCCUCUCCUCCCACCUCACCUGGCCCUUGCCCCAUCCACAACCUUCAAACCCGAGCAAACGAAAAGACUGUGGCAAUGAGCUGGUAUCCGAGCUCAUCAUUUGUCCUCUACAGUCCGGCUCAAGUUGGGGCUGGAUAUCAAAAUACUGUACCUGGUCUUCUUAAUAAUUACUAGCAUUUACUAUGUGCUAGACCCUGUUUUAAGUGCUUUGCAAGUACUAACUCACAUGAUCCUCAUAGGAAAUAAGCACUAUUAUCUCCAUUUUACAGAUGAGAGACUGAGGCACAGAGAGGUUAAGUGACUUGGCCAAGAGCACACAGCUAGCAAGUAGAUGGAUUAGGGAUUGAACCCAAAUUCUGUGCCCUAACCAUUCGAUCCUGUGUCCUGAGGUAGCAGCAGUGUCUUUUCAAGCCUAAAAUCAUUGGGAACAACCUGUAUGUACAGUGCUCUUGAAGUGAAUAGAGAGGCUUAGUCAUAUCAAGUUCAGCCCCUUCUUUGUACAAAACGGGACACUGAGGCAGAGACUGAGUGGUCUUCCCAGGUCACCAGCAAGUUGAGCCCAGAGCUAGUCUGGGCUGACACUACCCCACCCCCUAUACAUUUCAGAAGAGGCCAUUGCCCACAGCCAAGGCAUGCUUUAACCAGGGGUCAUGACCUGGAAAUUAGCACACAGCCCUAUUCCAGCCUCUCCUGGACCUCUCAGACCCUUAUUCACCCCUCCCUGCCAGGUCCUCAAGAGUAGUGUCUGGCAAGCCACUUGCUUGGUGGUUUAUGUUUUUGGGGUUUGGCUUUUGUUUUUUGUUUUUUUGUUUGUUUGUUUUUUGCUUUUGCGGGAUGGGGUUAGACUGUAAACCUCACCCUGACUUAGGUUGAAGAUUUCAAAAAAUGAUUUAAAGUAACAGGCUGUGCAUACUUGGAGCAAGCGUGGGGUGGAGGUCAGGAAAGUGACUUCACACCCAUGACCCCAUCGCCCACCCCAAGUCCCUGCAAUUCAGGGUCAGAGAAUGAGUGAUGAUUGCCCUGUAACUUGUUCUCCAAACACUGCCUGCUUUCACCUCAUUCUCUCCCCAGGUGUCACGCCACCUCUGAUCCUCCUUUUCCAGUCAUAUACACCACCUCCCCUCUCACUCUCUUCACCAUUCUCUUGAGAAUUCACCCAAAGCCAGGUCUGAAAUUUGGUCAGGUUUCCCCCACAGAGGUUUCUCUCCGCGUCUCCAGCUGACACUCCCCACAGUCCGCAGGUUCCUCCAUCGAGAUCCCCUCCCCCGGCCUCGGUGACAACCCACCCGCCCAGCCAGCCAGCCAGGUCGCUGCUCCGCGGGGCAAAGGCAGAGGGUGGGGAGGGAGACCCUGGCAAGGGCUAUGGCUAGACAGAGCCCACGAUGGGGGCUGACAGAGCAACGAGUGAGGGUCAGAGAGGAUAUCUGAGCCCGAGACUGACGCCUGGACCGGAACAAGGUCCGAGACGCCUGCAGGGGUCCGGGAGCCUGCACCGGGCCAGGGUCCGAGACCUGAUGGAGUGGGCGGGAUGAGGUCUCGGACAGGGCAGGGGAGAAGAGCGGAGGUGUAGGGGAUCAGAGCUCGGACCGAACCUGGGAAGCCAGAGAAGGCGGUCGGGGCGCGAACUCCGACCCUGAGGUGCGGCCAGUGCUACCGGGGCUAAGGACUGAGUUCGAGAUCCCACCCCGGCCACCAGCGGGAAGGAAAAGUUGGCGGUGCUGCAGCGGGAGGAGGGGAAGGCAGGCG
Molecule: RNA transcript, 7829 nt
Organism: Sus scrofa (pig)
Lineage: Eukaryota; Metazoa; Chordata; Mammalia; Artiodactyla; Suidae
Gene name: proto-oncogene Wnt-3
Source: RefSeq, a predicted model, not a curated record